RNAcentral lists this long non-coding RNA (3136 nucleotides) under Cicer arietinum (chickpea). RNAcentral's name for it is "long non-coding RNA (CARI_LNC002082)". The record is from RNAcentral. Lineage: Eukaryota; Viridiplantae; Streptophyta; Magnoliopsida; Fabales; Fabaceae.
AAAAUCCCUAGUAUGUUGAUGUGAAUGGCCAUAAAAGACCCAAAUUUCAAAGUUUUAUAUUUUAGAAAAUUAGAUUAUCAUACAAUUCAAAAAAGCAACAAAAGAAUUCCAAUUGGUCCACAAGUAAGACAAUAUAUAUCAUGUUUUUUAACACCAUUGAGGAAUUCUCAAAUGUGAAGGAGCUAUAUUGAUAUGAUAACACAUCUCCAUCUAUUGAUUUUAAAGAAAUAUGCUAUUGCUCUAUCUCAAAGAUGAAAUCCUCUCUCUCAAGUCUCAACAUGCUUCACAAGGUUUACCCAAAAUUGUUAGGUGGUUGAAGAAAAUCGGUGAGUUAAAAAACAUGCUAUCUUUUAAUUGUGCUUUUUAAUCUCAGCCGUUAAUUUGAUCUAUAUUGGAUGUGUAAUAUAUAUAUAUAUAUAUAAUUUCACAUGAAAAAUCAUGAAGUCCAUGUACUAGUUCAUAUGUGUAAAUAUAGUACUAUAUAAAAUAUUUCAUUCAAUUCACAUAUAUCAUAUCAAAGUUCAUACAAAAUAUAAUAUGUUACUAAUUGAAGUGUUAUUUUUAAUGUGUUAUUUAUAAUAUUUUUAAUGUGUUAUUUUGUAAUAUUUUUAAUGUGUUAUUUAUGAUGAUUCUAAGUUACUAAUUGAAGUACUAAAUAUUAACUGAAAUAAAACCAAAACUGAUAAGAAAACACUUCAAAUAUAUUAUAGAUUGAGUAAAAUUUAUUUAGUGCGAAUUAGAUUCGUAGCGAAUUUGAAAUCAAACGGACCGCGUUCUUAGACUGAAAAUUUUGUUUAGAGAAUUUGACAUACUUUUUAAAUUAUUGUCUGUUUUUUUAAAAAUUGUUAUUUUUAAUCAUGAUAAGAACUUUGACAUGUUGAAUGUUGAUUAAGAGGAUAAAAUACACUACACCAAUAUUAAGAAUAUAUAAUGCAUUUUUAACGGCGCUUAUUUUCCAAAAGUGUUAUUAGUUCAAAAAUAUAAAAAAUACAAAGCCUUUAAAUAAUGCUUUUUUAAUAGGGUUUUUUUAAUAACUCAAUUUAAAAAAAAAAAUUAUUAAUAUACUCCUUUUUGAAAAGUUUAUAUCAAACACCAUUGUUUUUACUUAGUUAGAAGUUGCCAUUUGCAAUGACGAUUUUCUUAAAGAAUUUCGAAUUUACAAUAACAACUGUUUAAAGAUUUUUUAAUUUUUUGUUUAAUCGCACAUCAAAGUCACCUUUGCUCUAGUUGAGCACACUUAUUAAUUUUAUUUUUUAUUUGUUAACGUUUUUUGUAUUGACGGUCAAUUAAAGUGUUGUUUUCUUGACAUUGUUAUUUUGUUUAUUUAUCUACUUAGGUUAGGUUAUCAAUUAUUAAGCACACUAAUUAUGGCUUAAAUUUUGGGAUACAUGAAACAAUAUGAAGAACACAAAAGUGGAAAUACCGUGGAAAAGACUGAGGUGUGUUGCGGCCUAAAAUUUCGAGUUUUGGCCUAAAAUACCUUUAAAAAUGUAAAAAUGUAAAAAUGGUCUUUGAAACCAGAUUUUGAGUUCGGGAGUCGAUUAUGCGUAGGAAAGGUAUUAGCACCCUACGACAUCCGUUAAAAUACGGGUUACCUAUAAUUAAUUGUGCAAAAUUAUAUCAACUUAAAUAUAUUUAUUUUUCUUUAUUAUUAAAUAUGAAUAUAAAUUGUGUUUUUAUAAAUGUGAUUUUUGAGAUAAAAGUGUGUUAAAAAGAGUAGAAAAAAAAAAGUUUUUAUUAUUGUGCUUGACAAGAGUGUGAUCUUGCUCCUACGUAUCUCCCGGUGCGAUGGAGAAAUCAAAGCUACGUAGUUCUUGGAGAAAAUGUGAAUGUGUUGAUUGCUUUUAAAUAUAUUGUAUUUUGUUACUUAAAAAAGUUAAUUUUGACGAAGAAAAAAAAACUUGUUUGAUUCGAAUAAAUAUUUUAAAAUAUGAGUUUUAAAACGAUCGGAGUUGUACAACUCGUGUCUCAAAACUCAAGGAGUAAAAAGAUGUCACAUCUAAUUUAACCCUCUUUAAAACAUUUUAUUAUUCUUUUAUAAAAUAGAGUUUCAAGAAGACCAAGUAGUACGACUUGUGUCUUAACAAUUCCAAGAUUAAAAAAAACAUCUAAUUAAAUUUUAAAAAAAGUUGAUUUUUAAUCUAUUCAUUUAUAAAAAUAAAUUUUAAAGCUAUUAAAAUAUAUAAUUUGUAUUGUGCAACUCAGGGAUUAAAAUGUCAUUUUUAAUUUAUUUGCGAAUAUGAGAUUUAGAACCAUCAAAUUGUCACAAUUUGUGUUCUAAUAACUCAAAGAUUAAAAAGAUGUCAAAUCUAGUUAAUUUUUAAUGAAAUAUUUGUUUGUUUUUAAUUUUAAUUUUAUAAUUUUUUUUAGAAAAAAAAAUUGAUACUAAAUAUUAAAUAAGUUUAAACGAUUUUUUUUUUUUGAAAUAAAAUAGUGAAAAGAAAAAUAUAUAGACUUGUAACUUAAUCUAUUAAAUAGAAAAAAAAUAACAUUUUAAUACUAAUUAUAAAUGUAACCCUCUUUUAAACUAUUUUUUUUGAAAUUUAAUAAAUGAAGAAAUAAAAUUCAUUUUUAAAACUAAAUAGCACAAACUAAAGAAAAACUAGUAUAACUUAAAAUAAAUGAUAUUUAUCGCCAUUUAAUUAUGUCGAUCAUUAAAAUAGAAUUAUUAUAAUUAAAUGAAAUAAAUACUGAAAAUAGAGAACCCAACCAAAAUUUCACCCACCCACCACACAAAUAUAUUAUUAAAUCAAUCCAUACUAACUAGCAAUAUUAUCAAUAGAAUGGAAUACAAAUAACAAACAGUUGGCGUGCGUGAGAUGUGUGUAUAGAGUACCAGCCUAGCAGGAUAAACAGGGAUUCAAAAUGCAGAAGAUUUAGCACAAAACUAAUCCAACUACAUCAAAAAUCUCAACCAAAACUCCAUUCAUACCGAUCAAAAUAAAAAUUUCGCGUGGUGGUGUGCUGAUUCUCGUCGGCUGUCGGUUGUUGUUAAUGAUUGAGUAUGUAUAAGGUUAAGGUUAUGGGUUGAUGGGAAGAAAUAUGAUGGCAGAUUCUUCUUCUUUUAUGUUAUUACUCUAUUUCUAUUGUUUUUCGAAAACAAGAAUCAGAAAGAAAGGAAAAUCUCCAAUUUUAU